CGAUGAUGAUGAAAAUUAGGGGACUCUAGACGAGUACCUUAGUCGAUAGUGUUUUGAGUUUCCAUAUGUGGACGUCAUAGCUUGAACAAGAACCAGUGAAAUGCAGGUCAUGCCUGUGGCUUGAGGGAAGCUGCAACAAUCCUAUGGCAGGGAAAGAAACCUAUAUCUAGUGAUGCAACAUUGAUUGUGAAGUGGCAUUUGUUUUUGUUUACUUUUUGAUGAGAAAUGUAUACGUAACUUUGUGUUUACAAUAAUUUGAAUGCAUGUUGAGUCAAGUGAUUAGUUACCUUCUGGGUAAAAGUAGACCUUUUUGUUGAGAGUUGAAAGUGAGAUUACUAGUGUCGAAUUUUGCCGUAUAAGCUAAAUGAAACACUUUUACGAUAAAAUCCUUGUGCAACAAAGGAAAAAUUCAUUGGAAAAAACUCAAGUCUCAUCUAUAGUGAACUCUACAAUCUUUCCUUUUUUUUUGUUAUAAAGAUAAACAAUAAAUAGUAAAAUGGGAAAAGUAUUUAUGAGUUUAAAUUAUAUUUGUUAUUUAUCAAGUGAAAUAGUUAGCACAAUGUGCUCGGCAUGGGUCAAAAUAUAAAUUUCAGUGACUUAAGUUAUUCAGUAUUUCUUUAUAAAUUUAUAAUAAUAUCGACCAAGUAAAAAGUACCAUAACCUGAAGAAAACUAAAGUUAAAAAUAUAAAAACUUUACAAAUCAUAGUGAAAAUUAAUUUGGCCAUCUAAAUUGUAUAAAUAUAUUUGUUUUACUUAUGGAGAAAACAUAUAAAACAGAUGUAAAAUGUCUCUGACUAUAAAAGUAAGUAUCCCUUCAUUUUUAAUCACACGACUCUAAUUUUAAUAGCAUGUUUGGGAAGUCACCCUUUAAUUGAAUUUGAGUGUAAUUGGGUUACACAAUUUUGACAUGUUUGUCAACUAAGUGGACAUGUGAGUCUCAGAAACUAAUCUUCGUUAAUAAUGUUACACGACGAUGAUGAUGAAAAUUACGGGACUCUAGACGAGUACCUUAGUCGAUAGUGUUUUGAGUUUCCGUAUGUGGACGUCAUAGCUUGAACAAGAACCAGUGAAAUGCAGGUCAUGCCUGUGGCUUGAGGGAAGCUGCAACAAUCCUAUGGCUGGGAAAGAAACCUAUAUCUAGUGAUGCAACAUUGAUUGUGAAGUGGCAUUUGUUUUUGUUUAGACUUUUUGAUGAGAAAUGCAUACGUAACUUUGUGUUUACAAUAAUUUGAAUGUAUGUUGAGUCAAGUGAUUAGUUAGUUAAGAGUGCACGGAUUUUUCUCUUCUGAGUAAAAGAAGUAACCUUUUUGUUGAGAGUUGAAAGUAAGGAUGUCUAAUGGAUGGGCCAGACUAGGUAGGAAAAAUUAGUAACCGUACAGCUUGGGGUCCGGGCCGGUUAGAGGUUGGGGCUUAACCGGGGUUUAACAGGUUCAGGUUCAUCCGGGGAGACAAAAUAAACUGUAAGGGUUAUAGGUAUAAGGGGCCGGUCCGGAACGGGUUAGUGUAAUUUUUAAUUUUUUUUGUAUUUUGUAUAAAUAUUGUAAGUUAUAUUAAUAUAAAGUAAAAAUAUAAAGAAUAAAAUGAAGAUGAGAAAAAAUUGCACUUAUAAAUUGUAAGUGCUACAUUUAUUUCAAAAUUACAAAUUGCAGUUUUCAUUUAA
This 1661-nucleotide long non-coding RNA is filed under the name Nicotiana benthamiana. RNAcentral describes it as "long non-coding RNA (NBEN_LNC008836)". Lineage: Eukaryota; Viridiplantae; Streptophyta; Magnoliopsida; Solanales; Solanaceae. The record is from RNAcentral.